AACGAACGCUGGCGGCAUGCCUAACACAUGCAAGUCGAACGAGACCUUCGGGUCUAGUGGCGCACGGGUGCGUAACGCGUGGGAACCUGCCCUUAGGUUCGGAAUAACUCCCCGAAAGGGGUGCUAAUACCGGAUAAUGUCUUCGGACCAAAGAUUUAUCGCCGUUGGAUGGGCCCGCGUUGGAUUAGCUAGUUGGUAGGGUAAAAGCCUACCAAGGCGACGAUCCAUAGCUGGUCUGAGAGGAUGCUCAGCCACACUGGGACUGAGACACGGCCCAGACUCCUACGGGAGGCAGCAGUGGGGAAUAUUGGACAAUGGGCGAAAGCCUGAUCCAGCAAUGCCGCGUGAGUGAUGAAGGCCUUAGGGUUGUAAAGCUCUUUUACCCGGGAUGAUAAUGACAGUACCGGGAGAAUAAGCUCCGGCUAACUCCGUG
This 433-nucleotide ribosomal RNA is filed under the name uncultured bacterium. RNAcentral's name for it is "partial 16S ribosomal RNA". It matches the Rfam family "Bacterial small subunit ribosomal RNA", at positions 29 to 507 of the family's 1533-position model. The record is from RNAcentral.